AUUGAACGCUGGCGGCAUGCCUCACACAUGCAAGUCGAACGGUAACGGGCCUUCGGGUGCCGACGAGUGGCGAACGGGUGAGUAAUACAUCGGAACGUGCCCGAUCGUGGGGGAUAACGAGGCGAAAGCUUUGCUAAUACCGCAUACGAUCUACGGAUGAAAGCAGGGGACCGCAAGGCCUUGCGCGGACGGAGCGGCCGAUGGCAGAUUAGGUAGUUGGUGGGAUAAAAGCUUACCAAGCCGACGAUCUGUAGCUGGUCUGAGAGGAUGAUCAGCCACACUGGGACUGAGACACGGCCCAGACUCCUACGGGAGGCAGCAGUGGGGAAUUUUGGACAAUGGGCGCAAGCCUGAUCCAGCCAUGCCGCGUGCAGGAUGAAGGCCUUCGGGUUGUAAACUGCUUUUGUACGGAACGAAAAGCCUUCUUUUAAUACAGGAGGGUCAUGACGGUACCGUAAGAAUAAGCACCGGCUAACUACGUG
Molecule: ribosomal RNA, 482 nt
Filed under: uncultured bacterium
Lineage: Bacteria
Description: partial 16S ribosomal RNA
Rfam family: Bacterial small subunit ribosomal RNA
Source: RNAcentral